Molecule: unclassified non-coding RNA, 348 nt
Filed under: soil metagenome
Description: partial contains 5.8S ribosomal RNA, internal transcribed spacer 2, and large subunit ribosomal RNA
Rfam family: 5.8S ribosomal RNA (bases 1-120)
Source: RNAcentral
GAUGAAGAACGUAGCGAAAUGCGAUAAGUAAUGUGAAUUGCAGAAUUCAGUGAAUCAUCGAGUCUUUGAACGCACAUUGCGCCCCCUGGUAUUCCGGGGGGCAUGCCUGUCCGAGCGUCAUUGCUGCCCUCAAGCACGGCUUGUGUGUUGGGCCCCGCCCCCCGACUCCCGGGGGGCGGGCCCGAAAGGCAGCGGCGGCACCGCGUCCGGUCCUCGAGCGUAUGGGGCUUCGUCACCCGCUCCGUAGGCCCGGCCGGCGCCCGCCGGCGACCCCCCUCAAUCUUUUCAGGUUGACCUCGGAUCAGGUAGGGAUACCCGCUGAACUUAAGCAUAUCAAUAAGCGGAGGA